This 2133-nucleotide long non-coding RNA is filed under the name Vitis vinifera (wine grape). RNAcentral's name for it is "long non-coding RNA (VVIN_LNC002051)". Lineage: Eukaryota; Viridiplantae; Streptophyta; Magnoliopsida; Vitales; Vitaceae. The record is from RNAcentral.
UUGAAGAUGAGUAUGGGGGCUGGGUUAUUUGAAGGAUUGUGUAUAGUUCUUAGCCCUCUGUCUUUUAACUUAUCCCCAUAUUAAGCUUGGGCUACAUACCCUGCAACAGGCACAAAAUAAGCAAUGAAAGUUAUCUUAUGUGGAUGCAGGAGAGACUUCAAAGAAUAUGCUGAUGUUUGCUUUAGAGAGUUUGGCGAUAGGGUUUUGUAAGGAUAAUAAUAAAUAGGAAGCACAAGACGCUUAUUGGCUUAAAGAACAGGGAAAAAAGGUAAAGAAAUUCAUGUGAAAUGGAUGGAAUGUAAGGAUAAUAAUAAAUAGGAAACACAAGAAGCUUAUUGGGGUAAAGAAAAGGUAAAAAAGAAGAAGGAAAAGAACAGUGUGUGAGAACCUCAGCUUAUAUUUCGGGUCUGAUUCCUGUUGCAUGUUUGUCGAUGCCUUGGUGUUUGGAGACCACCCUGACAUGGUGAAGAAGAGAGCCGGCACAAGAAUCCCAGCCUUCACUAAACAGGAAUCCAAACAAGUCAAGGGUAUCUUUGACUUCAUAGGCAUAAACCAUUACAACACAGUACCAUCCAUCAAGAACAACCCUGAGAAGCUGAAAAUAAUGAAGAUGUGGGCGUAGAUACGAUAUGUAUAUUCCCUUUUUUCACCUAAACCUGGUUCUCAAGCACUUCAACUUAACUAUCUCACCUUUUACGAACUGACCUGGAUGAGCCGAGGUUCAAUGUAGAAAAAUGAGUCAUUGCAGUCAGCUUAGUGUAUUCCUCUUCAAAUUCAAUGAACUGACCAUAGAAAUUCUGUAUUUCUCUCCUACCUCCCUUAAUUUCCCUCUCUAUAAAGUGGGGAUCAUUAUUAACUGGUUGCUUAGUGUGAGGAAACAGAAUUCAGAUUGGCAGAUUGAUAUGCUAUAUUUCAGGGUUUUCUGUAAUUUUAGUAAUAGAAUUAAAAUAGGAAAGAUAAUACAAAGCUUGAGGGAGUGUAAGUAGGGGUGACAAGGUUUAAUAUGGUUGACCAACACGACUUAGUCCAAUUUUUUGUAGCCUGAGGAGUAGAAUUAAGGCAAAGACAUGAACAACAGCCAAAAUGAAGAUACAAGCAACACAUAGAGAGAGAUGCCUAGAGGGAGAAACACUAAGUCAUAUCAAUGUAACACCUGCAACCAAUGCUGGUUUGGCAAUAAGAAAUACAGAAGAACAAAACUCUUCUCCACCUCAGUUCUCUACAACUUAAAAGAACACACAAGAUUAUUCAAUUCAAUACAUUUGCAUUAUUAUUAUUUUUUAUUUUAAUUCCAUUACUAAAAUUACAGAAAAACCCUAAAAAAUUACCAGACAUUCUGAUUCUCACAUUAGGCAACCAAACUAGGAUCCCCACUUUCUAGAACGAGAAAAAAAGGAAGUAGAAGAGGAAUACAAACUUUGUAGGGUCAGUCGAUGUCCAUGUUACCACCUUGGCCUUGGUCUUGGCUCCGCUGAUUCGCAAACUGAAAACCAACCCUGCUCACGGAUUCUUGAGUCAAUGCAUGACAUAAGACUACGUUUGAUUCUCAGAAAAUUUAAAGUCAGAAACAGAAUCUUGAUUUAGGAAAAUACAAAAAGUCUAAUAUCACUUUCAAGAACUAAUAUUCUUUCGAAGUAACAAGAAACUAUGUGAUGUCAUGUUUCAAAAGGCAUCCCACCUCAAAAACAAUACACGAAACAGAAAUAAAUGACAUAAACUAUGAACUCCUGGUAAUGUUCUUGAAUUAUUCCAAGAAAUAAAGCCUGAAUGACCCUCAAGAAUCUAAAGAUUUUAGACGCAAGGGCAUUCUUUCUUGGAAAUUUUAAGACGGUACAAUGAGUAGAGAAGUAGAGCUUACUCAGAGAGAAUUCUGGUGAUAAGACAAUGAGAGCUUGGCAUACUCGACAGAAGAAGGAAUUGGCUCCAAGAUUUUGAUGGAAUUCAAGAAGAGACAUUUCAAGCUUCAACUUCCAAAGAAAGUCGAAAAGCUAUGGAAUUCAAGGUUGAAGAGGAGAGAUCGCAGGUAAAUAUGGUGGAAAGAGAAUGGAGAGUUGGAAUUGAAGAAAGUGUAAAGAGUAGUUGAAUGGGAUUUUAAAGCAAGGAGGUCUCUUGGAGCUUUAUUUUUUCCUUGUC